This 504-nucleotide ribosomal RNA is filed under the name uncultured Pseudomonadota bacterium. RNAcentral's name for it is "bacterial SSU rRNA". It matches the Rfam family "Bacterial small subunit ribosomal RNA", at positions 355 to 873 of the family's 1533-position model. Lineage: Bacteria; Pseudomonadati; Pseudomonadota. The record is from RNAcentral.
UGGGGAAUAUUGCGCAAUGGGCGAAAGCCUGACGCAGCUACGCCGCGUGGGUGAUGAAGGCCUUCGGGUUGUAAAGCUCUGUCGGGGGGACGAAGUUCUGACGGUACCCCCCAAGAAAGCACCGGCUAACUCCGUGCCAGCAGCCGCGGUAAUACGGAGGGUGCAAGCGUUGCUCGGAAUCAUUGGGCGUAAAGCGUACGCAGGCUGUUCGUUAAGUCGGGUGUGAAAGCCCAGGGCUCAACCCUGGAACGGCGCCCGAAACUGGCGAGCUUGAGUGCGGGAGAGGGAAGCGGAAUUCCUGGUGUAGAGGUGAAAUUCGUAGAUAUCAGGAGGAACACCGGUGGCGAAAGCGGCUUCCUGGCCCGACACUGACGCUCAUGUACGAAAGCGUGGGGAGCAAACAGGAUUAGAUACCCUGGUAGUCCACGCCGUAAACGAUGAGUGCUAGCUGCUGGGAAUGUUUACCGUCUCAGUGGCGAAGCUAACGCAUUAAGCACUCCGCCG